AGUCUCUCCCCAACAAGUUGGACGCUCUAUCAGCGCUGACUUGCCAUCAGAGGGAAUACAAUGUAUCAUUAUGGGUUUUCUCAAGACAUGGGUAACUGAGCUAACUCCUGACACAAACACUACACUGUACGGAUUCCGCAUCAUAGGGACGGACAGGACAACAGAGAGCGGUAACGGGAAGGCACAAGAGAAGGCAGAGGAUGGGGAAAUAAUCAACCCUGAUGGACAAUCCCUCCGACCCCAUGCUGGACGCCCUGGCUGCACUGUAUGGCUCUUUCAGCCCCGGAUACUGGAAGAUGGCUAAAUGGAGUUUAGCCAAUCACCGCUAUUAAGGUCAAGCACAUGAAUAUACACUUCUCUAACAUGGUAAUAGGCAGCGUGGGGGUAGGGCUUUCCUCCCUGCUGGAUUCACAUGGAGAUCAAAGCAACUCGUUCACUGAAUGCCGUUGUCUCAUUGACGAAACUGUACCCUUUUGAUGUCAGGAGACAAAGACUAGUAGAGCUUAGGGAGAACAGUUGGCAGUGCAGUGAAAAAGCCCUUUUAUCAAAGCACAUCAACCAAACAUUCAACAGAGGUUGGUGAUGAGCCAGGUCCAUACCAGGUGCUGCCUUAGAGUCAAUAUUCACAAUGUCAUUAAAUCUUGCUUUCACGUUUUCUGAAUUAUUUCUAAUCAAAGUCAGUAUCUGCAUGAUUUUCACAGACCUACACAUUGUAUCUGCACUGUUAAAUUUACCACAACCCUUUUUUGUUAUAUUAUGACAUACCGGAAUUUUGUUAUUUUUGCAGCGGCUUUCAGAACAGCCCAUAAACGCAUCAUAAUGAUUCAUGAUAAAUCCAAGUUGCAGUCUACAGUUUUUGUCUGGUUUAGUCAAACCAGAUCUAAGGGAGGGGCAUAUAAUUAGGAACAAUGACCUUACAACUUAUUUUAGGCACGCUAGCCAAUCAGGGGGCAUUGCGGGGCCAUGCUGGACAGACGGUGGCCGGUGAUUGGGGGAGACGGUGGGAGGCGGGUGUUCCCGUUGUUUUGGGCGGCUAGUCAAGUUUGCUAGCGGAAACCUAGGUUGAUGUUAUUGCCGACUGCAAGUUAGAGUGAGCGUCCCGAUAGCGUGGGGUUAUGUAUGUCUGCUGCUAGAGAACUACAAUAAAGGAAUGGUACCCAAACGUCCCUUCGCCUGCGUGUGCUGAGUGACACACUACACUCAGACGCUACAAUAUGGGAAAACAUGUCACAAGGGUAUUUGGUUGACUUAUCCCCCUCCCCACCGUCACAAUGAACUGUCUCUUGGACAUUCUCUGCAGGUCAGUUGUUGAGCGUGUAUCAGUUUCACAGUACUGUCUGCAUGCCAUAGGCCUACAACAAAAAAGCAAAAGCAAGGGUGGCGUUCUUAUUGCAUUUACAAUUCCAAUUACAACAUUUCCUUGUCAUUCAAAUGCCAAUUGAGUGAGAUCCUUUAUGGAGAGCAUUGUCCGUCACACACAUCUACCAGUGGGAUUCAUAAAUUAUUGUUUCUAAACGAAGCUUUAAAGUUUAGGCUACUAGUGUUUUAUCAACAACUGCAUAUGUCUUUGUUUCAUUUCCAUCUAAAAUAAACAUACACUUAGUUUGCCUGAUAUAGCAUGCAUAUGUGCUGUUAAAAUCACUUGUCCUAUUUUGUUAUUUGAGAAUAAAAUCCCAGAAACCAAUAUGGACUUUGACUUUAAACAACAACCACAUUUCAUAUUCCACUCUCCUUUGCAUUUCCCUAAAUGCACCCUAGCUUGUUGAAGAAGC
Gasterosteus aculeatus aculeatus (three-spined stickleback) is the source of this 1772-nucleotide long non-coding RNA. The record is from Ensembl. NCBI's taxonomy places the organism in Eukaryota, Metazoa, Chordata, Actinopteri, Perciformes, Gasterosteidae.